Long non-coding RNA from Oncorhynchus keta (chum salmon), 1451 nucleotides. RefSeq lists it as uncharacterized. The record is from RefSeq and is a predicted model, not a curated record. The transcript is spliced from 7 exons. Lineage: Eukaryota; Metazoa; Chordata; Actinopteri; Salmoniformes; Salmonidae.
GCCAAAACAUGUGCGUCCAGGCUUAAUUGGUUGCACAAAGACCAAGCCAGGAUGAGCAGACACGGAUUCAUUAAGCCAGGUGAAACCAAUCCUGGAUAGGUGCGCGCUCACGGCUCACUCAAAUAGACCCCGCCACAGAUCACAGAUUAACUGAUUUACCAUGGCAACUAGAGCCGCGUACUUUUCCCCGUCGGAAGCACAAAUCCUCAUGGAGGCAUACGAGGAGGUAAAAGAUAUAAUUAAGAAGAAAGGCAACACCGCCACAGUGAUAAAGCAAAGAGAAAAAGCGUGGCAAAGUAUUGCAGACCGCCUGAAUGCAUUAAACAUGAACGGGCCAAAACGGACAUGGCAGCAGGUCAAAAUCAAAUACAAGAACAUUCUGCAGAAUGGUAUGGUCCCUGACUAAUAUUUAACAAAGCACAAGCAUAUAUUGUACCCAGAAGGUGCCUGCUCACACAUUGUCUGUACUGUUUUAGCAGUGAAAAAGAAUACCCACAGACAAGGCACGGGUGGUGGGUCACCAAAGGCUGACCUUACCCCAGCAGAGGACAUGGCCUUGGAGCUAAAUAAAGGCAGGCCCGUCUUAGAGGGGAUCCCUGGGGGAAAGAGACGAGCAUAGGUUCCUCCCAAGAUGCCACCCGCUUCAUUCAAGUGUCUGGCAGCACUGUGUUCCUGUUAGAGCCACCAGCACAAGCACCAGACGAUGCUGAUCCAGGUGAAGGCCCCAGUGCAGCAGCAACAGCACAUGAUGGAGACGAUGAUGAUGAGGAGGAGACCAUCUCUCUGGAUUCCAGAAGGCAUGAGGUAUCAUGGUAAGACUGUGAAAGUACUAUUUACUCUACAAUGGUGAGGAGUCCUCAUCAAAAUCAAAAAAUCUAAUUUCUUUUACAGGACCCAGAUGCUAUACAGUGGGAAAACCAGCCUGGCAACAUAAGCUCACAAGCUAUCAGAAAGUUGUAUGGCAACCACCUCCGGCGCCAAAUAGAACUGGCAGACAUAGACAUUCAGUACAAGAAGAAAAACAUGGAAAAUCUUGCACUGGAGUCCGAAAUAAAAAAGAGGACAAUUAGGAAACUGGACCUUGAAAUAAAAAAACUUGAGAGGGAGCUCCAAGAAGAUGACACAGCUCAAAAUAAAAAUGAGCAAUCAGUACAACCAAGUCAUCGUUAUAAGGCAUCGCCCUCUUUUGCCCACCCCCCCCAGCACCAGGUGUGGCCACUAGCCUAUAUGAAGGCCCAAAAUUGUGUGUUCCUUUCUGCUCUGACAAUGGCAUGCCCAUUCGUGCGAGAUGUGGUGGAUGAAGAAGCACUUGUGCUGAGGAGAGCCUUCAGGCGAGAAAGGGUCUUCAGGGACCGGUUGGACCCACUGGCCUUCCCUGACGACCUACAGAUGGCAUCAGGUAUCUAUGCAGACUACUGGGUCCCAGGAUUAAGCACCGCACUGCACGGAGC